ACGCUUGAAGUCAGUCGCGUUGUCCAGGGAUCAACCUUGCUUUUGCUUGGUGCACUUUCUGGUUUGACGGGUCAGCAUCAAUUUUGACCGUUGGAAAAAGGCUGAGGGAAUGUGGCAUCUUCGGAUGUGUUAUAGCCCUUGGUCACAUACAAUGGUUGGGAUUGAGGAACUCAGCAUGCCGCAAGGCCGGGUUUUAAACCACGUACGUGCUUAGGAUGCUGGCAAUAUGGCUUUAAUCGACCCGUCUUGAAACACGGACCAAGGAGUC
This 268-nucleotide ribosomal RNA is filed under the name Cortinarius colymbadinus. Its description in RNAcentral is "partial large subunit ribosomal RNA". The record is from RNAcentral. Lineage: Eukaryota; Fungi; Basidiomycota; Agaricomycetes; Agaricales; Cortinariaceae.